AUUAGUGCUUUUAGCAUAUCAUUAGAAACACUAGCCUCUCAUCAAUAAUCAAGAAUAGAUUUUUUCCUAUACCAUUAAGAAAUACAUAAUCGUCUCUUGACUAUCUAUCCUUUUUCUUAAACGUCUCACUUAAUUACAAUUUUGAAAAACUGAAUUGAAACAUAGCAAAAAAACUCUCUCUAGAAUAAGAGUUCCUCUCGGCGAAAGCUGAAAUGGCCAUGAAAUCGAAAACUGGAUGGAAGGGAUGCAGAAUCUAGGCAGUACGCAAAGGUUAACAAUGAUGAAAAAAGAAAUUCCUCAAUCCAUGGAUGCGAAGAAGACCAAAAGUGUAAAUGUGUUGCAAGGGAUUGUUCCAUUCAAUCUAUCGCAGAUUGGAAAGUUCAGAAACAUCAAUUACUACUCCAAUUGGAAGUAAAUCCAAUGAGACAAGAAAACCUGGUUCCUCCAACAAGAGUUCGUGGGCAGACCAAGUGGCUGCAGAAGUGGGAGAAUGCGGAAAUUCAGAAGUAAUUCUCAAGAUCAUGCACCUCUCUUUCCUACUUAUAACGGAAAAGGGUACAACUGGUUGGAGAAAUUAAAUGUUGACAAGGUAGCACAAGUAAAUCUAGGCGUGUUCAUUGUACGAUACCAUAACACAGAGGAUCGGGAGAAAGCUGUAGAGGAGGGGGUUCAAAUGUUUGACAGGAAGCCUAUAGUUGUGAAUGUAGACCGGACAUUGAUGUAACAAAGGACAAGGUGGAGAAGGUACCAAUUUGCGUAAGGUUGGUAGGACUGGAUAUAAAGUAUUAGGGAAAGAAUCUCUAACAAAGAUAGCAGGGUUUUAGGCAAUCCUUUGAAGACAUACAAGGAAACUACUCACAAGGAAAGGCUUACAUAUGCACAAGUUCUUGUGGAAAUGACACUAAAUAAGCCAUAUCCAUCUGAAAUUAUCUUUGAAAAUAAGAAUGGAAAAAAUAUAGAACAAUGGGUGGAGUUUGAAUGGAAGCCAGUUCUGCGUUCAGGAUGCAAAAACAUUGGGCAUGAAUUGAGUGAAUGUAGAAGACAACAAAGGGAUAAAGCUUUGCUAGAUAGAUUGGAGAAAGGAAAGCAGACAACAGAACCAAAUGAACCUAUGAAUGUAACUACCCAGUCAAAUGAAGUGGGAAAUGCCAAAAAAAGCUACAGGAGGUCAAUAAAAUAGAGGUUGCUCAGGGGUCAUGUAGCACAAGUAAAGCAGAUGAUAAUCCAGGAGAUGAACCUGGAAAGAGGCAGGGCCGGGUCGGGGGGGGGGGGGGGGGGGGGGGGAUCCCAUCCUAAAUGGAUAGUAUCGGAUUUUGGAACUCCAGGGGUUUAAAUAGAGCUAAAAAGCAAAAGGAGAUGCAGGUGUUUUGGAUUAAGAGAGCCAAAGCUAAUUAGGUUGCUCUUAAUAUAUGUAAUGGAUGGUCCUUUACUAUAAAACUCCUAGAACACCGUGGGAAAGAAUAUGGUUAUUGUAGAAGCCACAGAUGUACUUAGUGGAUAUUAGAUUGGUGACAGGACAAGUGAUUCAUUCUAUUUUACAGCAUAGAGGUAUAGGUAGAAUAUUCAACCUAACAGUGGUGUAUGGAUACAAUGAUCAAGCAAUGAGAAGGGAGUUAUAGGGGAUGUAAAAGGUGCAAAUGAAAAUAUGGUUGGACCCUAGGCUAUAAUGGGGCAUAGGGUGCUUGUCAACAUAUAUUGGUUAUCCACUCUUCCUGCAUCCGAAGUUCAUUAUAAAAAUGAAAGACUCUAUGAUCACUGUCCUGCAUUUAUCAGAUGGGAAGAUAGAGUGACACAGGGGAGGAAGCAAUUUAGAUAUUUUAAUAUAUGGAUCUUGGCACCUGAUUUCAAGAAAAGGGUGAAAUCAAGCUGGAAAAAAUGGCCAAAAGGCAUAUGUAUGUUCAAGCUGGUAGGGAAAUUGCAUAGGUUGAAGAGUGUGCUGAUGAAACUGAAUAGAGAGAGGUUCAAUGAUAUGGAAAAGCAAGCUGACAAUGCAACGGAGAAAUUGAUGAAGUGUCAAUCUGAACUUCAACUGAACCUAAGAGAUAGCAUGAUGAUUGAGGAGGAAGGAAAGUUAGCUAAGGAAUGCAGGCAACUACAGAAGGCUAAACAACAGUUUCUUCAAUAGAGAUAAAAAAUGCAGUGGCUGAAAGAAUGUGAUCAAAACAUAAAAUUCUUUCAUAGUUUUUUGAAGGCUAGAAGAAAUACCAAUGGUGUUUGUAAUAAGGGACAAAGAUGGGGUGGAGCAAACAGAAAUAGGGGCAAUAAGACAAGAUUUUGUUGACUAUUAUACAAAGCUACUAUGCAAGCAAAUAAUGAAACGAAGCAUGCAAGCAAUACAAUAAUCAAAAUGGGUCCUCUUGUCUCCGAUGACCAUAGAGCACUAUUGGAAGCAUAAUUUAGUGAGAAGGAGGUGAAACAGGCCUUGUGGGCAAUUAAAGGGGAAAAGUCACCUGGUCCUGAUGGUCAUGGAAGCUAUCUUUUUUAAGAUAGCUGGGAUAUUGUAGGUAAGGAGCUAGUGGAUGGGGUGUUGGAAUUAUUCACAACAGGGAAGAUGCUGAGAGGGGUGAAUGACACUAUCAUCACAAUGAUACCAAGGAAUUCCCAUGCAGCAACAGUUGGUGACUAUAGACCAAUCUCUUGCUGUAAUACCACACACAAAAUUAUAUCCAAGAUGUUAUGUGCUAGAUUGAAAAUAGUAUUACCAAAGGUCAUCUCAAGCAACAAAAGUGCAUUUGUUGGUGGAAGAACCAUAGUCCAAAACAUAUUGAUAUGUCAAGACCUUGUGAGGCUUUAUAAAAGGAAACAUGCUACUAGAAGUUGCCAAACCAAGAUAGAUUUGAGAAAAUCUUAUGAUUCUGUGGAAUGGGAGUUUGUGGAGGAGAUGUUACAUAGCAUGAAAUUUCCCCAUGAGGUUAUCAAAUGGAUAAUGGAGUUUGUGUCCUUAACUCAGUAUAGAAUUGCAUUGAAUGGUUUUGUGCAUGGAGAAAUAAAAGGGAAAAGCGGACUAAAGCAAGGUAAUCCAAUAUCACCAUUACUAUUUGUCAUAUGCAUGGAAUAUUUCACAAGGUUCAUGAACUGGGUGGCUACACAGGAAGGGUUUGAAUUUCACACAAAAUGCAGAGGAUUGAAACUAAACCAUCUAUACUUUGCUAAUAAUACGUUGAUAUGCAAAGGGGAAAUCCAUUCUGUGUUGUUGAUGCUAAGAGGCCACAGAACCUUCUCAGAAGCAUCAGGUUUGACAACAAAUGUAGCAAAAUCCAACAUUUUUCAGCAAAUAUGAAUAACAUGGAGCUGGAUGACUUGUGUGAGAUUAAAGGCUACACCAAAGACAAGUUAACAUUCAGGUACUUGGGAGUACUAAUCUUUACCCAAAAAGAUUCAGAUGGUGAGAUGUUGGUGGACAAGAUGGUGUCAAGGGUGAGAACAUGAGGGUCCAGAAAUCUAUCAUAUGCUGGUUAAUUCAAUACUAAUGUAAGUACAUUCAUAUUGUUCAUCCAUUUUUAUACUACCUAAAAAUGUUUUGAAAGAGAUCAUAGUAGUUUGCAAGAAUUUCAUUAGGAGUGGGCAAGUGAACUCUAGUAAAUCCCUUCUAAUAGCUUGGAAAAAUGUAUGCUAACCAAAAAGGGAGGGAGGAUUAGGAGUUCAUAACUUUGUAACAUAGAAUAAGACAACAAUAGCUAAAUAUGUGUGGAACAUUGCAAGCAAGGUAUACAACUUAUGGGUAAAAUGGGUUAAUCAUGUGUAUAUAUCAAGGGGUGGACUAGUGGCAAUACAAGGCCCCUCAAGAUAGUUAUUGGUACUGAAAAAGGUCUGCAGUGUAAAUGAGAGGUUUGCUAAUGGGUACUGUGAGAAUGGUUGGAUCAAGCCUGCAGAGAAAUAUACAAUAAGUAGUGGCUAUAAAUGGAGAAUGGGGGCUGGAACUGAAUGGCCAUGGUGGAGAGUAGUAUGGAGAAAGGCAGUGAUCCUUAAGCAAAGUUUUAUAUGUUGGAUUGCUAUGCAUGGAAGGUUGAUGACUUGGGAGAGACUUGCAAAAAUUGGGAUUUGUCAGGAUACAUCUUGUCUGAUAUGUGGGGAUUAUCUUGAAAGUAUGAAAUGUCUCUUCUUUGAGUGCACAUUCUCAUAGGCCUGCCUGGAAGAGAUACUGAAGUGGUUAGGAAUUCGAGUUCACAACACUGACCUGAAAAAGAGCUAGUGCAGACUGGCUAUAAGAGCUACAGGGAAAAUAAGUAGAACAUUCAUCUGGGCUGUGCUGGCAGCAAUAAUAUACAAGAUUUGGAUGGAAAGAAAUAAGGCUCUAUGGAAUCAUCAAGUCCCUAGUCCUCAUAUUAUCAGCAAACAAGUACAAUAAGAGAGUAAAUAUAGAAUUUUUGAAAUUUUAUAUAGGAAACCAACUUGUUAAGAUAGAGGGUGGAUAGAAAAGUUAUACAAUUGGUGAGGGGAUGGGAAUGGAGUUUGGAUAGAAUUGAGCAGGAUAGGUGUUUUUUUGGUCUGUUUUUGAGUUAAUUGUAGGGUGUUGUAUUGCUGUGUGGGCUGUUAUUUGGAAAGUUGAAAUAAAAUGUGUUCGGCUGAUAAACAAAAAUUGAAAUAUUUAGAAUAGAAUUGGAAAAAAACAUCAAUGGCUUCUUAUUUUUUAAAAUGUCAGUAUUUUCAAACAAAAAGAAAACAACACAAAAUAUCCCUAGAAUGCGAAAUAGUUCCCCGCCCGUGCCCUUCCCUAAACUAAUUCUGCUUUCACCCACCCAAUCGGCUGAAAAUAUUUAACCGAGUCCCCCCUCGCCCAGAUCCUAUGAUACCAUCUCAGUAUAUUUUUAUACCAUGAUGGUAUCAUGGAGGACUAAGAGAGUGUCUCAUUGAAGGAGUAAAGCAGUCCUCCAUGAUAUCAUCUGAGUAUAUGGUAUAUAUCAUGAUGGUAAUGGAAGACUGCGGAGUGUCUCAUUGAAGGAUUGAAGCAGUCCUCAUGAUAUCAUUUCACUAUAUGUAUAUAUGAUGAUGAAUCAUAGUUGUUGUUUUUUAAAGAAAGUGUGUGUUUUGAAUAAAUGAACAUGAUCCUCUAUGAUACCUUGUCCGUAUAUUAUAUAUACCAUAUGAGUUACAUAGAGCGUUGAUGAGUGUGUUUUGAAGAAAUGAAAGAAGUUCCCUGUGAUACCAUCAUGGUAUAUAAGAGACAGGGUACCAUGUUGGUAUCAUAGUUCUGAGGGCAUGAAAGUAAGGGGGUAUGAGCGGGUAAUUAUUUUAUUUUCAGGGGUCAUCAACGUUCUUUCCCCUAAAACAAAUUCAAUUUGUCAGAAGACUAAGAUUUGAGACCAGUGUGAAUAAUUUCUUGUCAUUGAUGCUUUUAGGAUGGCUAAAUAUAUCAAUGCCCUCUUAAACUUGUCAGUAAAAUUUCAUUCAACCACUUGAAUUAUGAUCUGUCCCUGUUGAGCACCUGAAAAUAUAAUAAAGUAUUUUUUAGA
This is a long non-coding RNA of Lycium barbarum (goji berry), 5453 nucleotides long. RefSeq lists it as uncharacterized. The record is from RefSeq and is a predicted model, not a curated record. NCBI's taxonomy places the organism in Eukaryota, Viridiplantae, Streptophyta, Magnoliopsida, Solanales, Solanaceae. The transcript is spliced from 2 exons.